AUGGCUGUCGUCAGCUCGUGUCGUGAGAUGUUGGGUUAAGUCCCGCAACGAGCGCAACCCUUGUCCUAUGUUGCCAGCGGGUAAUGCCGGGGACUCGUAGGAGACUGCCGGGGUCAACUCGGAGGAAGGUGGGGACGACGUCAAGUCAUCAUGCCCCUUACGUCCAGGGCUGCACACAUGCUACAAUGGCCGGUACAGAGGGCUGCUAUCCCGCGAGGGUGAGCGAAUCCCAAAAAGCCGGUCUCAGUUCGGAUUGCAGUCUGCAACUCGACUGCAUGAAGUCGGAGUCGCUAGUAAUCCCGGAUCAGCAACGCCGGGGUGAAUACGUUCCCGGGCCUUGUACACACCGCCCGUCACACCACGAAAGUUGGUAACACCCGAAGCCGGUGGCCUAACCCUCGGGAGGGAGCCGUCGAAGGUGGGAUCAGCGAUUGGGGUGAAGUCGUAACAAGGUAGCCGUACCGGAAGGUGCGGCUGGAUCACCUCCUUUCUAAGGAGCUCACUGCCUGGAAUUAUCACAAUUCCAGGAACUCCUACGUCGAUCACUGGUCAGCUGGCAUUCGGCCAAUUCCGACCCCGCUCAGCCUCGUGCUGAACGGCACCACCGGGACCCGGAUUGCCGGCGUGCGCGUCACUGUUCCGUUUUGAGGGAGCGGUCGCUCGGGCUUCUCGCCCGGAGGCUGCUACCUCGAGGCCAGAUCCGCCCCCGCCGCCCCGCAUUGCGGGGCUGGCGCGCGGACGACUUCAACGCCCCUUGAGAACCGCAGAGCGAGCACGAGCAUCUAGCAAACAGUGCAAGACGAAAAUCCCAAGCUAUAAAGAGCCAACGGUGGAUGCCUUGGCGCCAGAUGCCGAUGAAGGACGUGGGUGGCUGCGAAAAGCCACGGUGAGCUGCCGACCAAGCAUUGACCCGUGGAUCUCCGAAUGGGGAAACCCGG
This 938-nucleotide small RNA is filed under the name uncultured Acidimicrobiales bacterium. RNAcentral's name for it is "bacterial SSU rRNA". The stretch from base 1 to 490 matches the Rfam family "Bacterial small subunit ribosomal RNA", at positions 1045 to 1533 of the family's 1533-position model. Lineage: Bacteria; Bacillati; Actinomycetota; Acidimicrobiia; Acidimicrobiales. The record is from RNAcentral.